GGACCAAACUUUGGACUACUUACAAUCACUUGCAGUCUAGUUUGUGGUGUGCUCUAAGUCUGUUCCGAGAUCCUACAGGUUGAUUUUAUUUAAAUG
Molecule: long non-coding RNA, 96 nt
Organism: Rhagoletis zephyria (snowberry fruit fly)
Lineage: Eukaryota; Metazoa; Arthropoda; Insecta; Diptera; Tephritidae
Source: RefSeq, a predicted model, not a curated record